This 1352-nucleotide long non-coding RNA is filed under the name Sus scrofa (pig). RNAcentral's name for it is "lncRNA (ENSSSCG00005019679.1)". Lineage: Eukaryota; Metazoa; Chordata; Mammalia; Artiodactyla; Suidae. The record is from RNAcentral.
UGCGGUCCUUGUCAGCGCUUCUGAACCCACAACACACGCACGUAAAUACAUACAAAGUUUAUUAAAAAUAGGCUGCGAAUGAAAUACAGUAGAAAUGGAAACUACAGCAGUUUGAUGUCCUCUCCCCAGGAACGCAGUCAAGAAAAGCACUCUCACACAUUUUCACAUCUGGCCCCUCGUCCGAGGACGGCCGAAUCCACGUGUUACAGGUUUACCACCACACAUACAAAUAUCCCUGCACGUAGGUAUUUACAUGUAUUUGCAUGUACUCAGGUGUGUUUGUUGUUUUUCUAUGUAUUAACAGAAACAUCGUUCGCCUGCGGCUUCUUCUUCAAAGAAAGUGUGGAUUUAGUCCUCCAAGGCUGCGGGGUUGCCGAGAACUCGGGAGGGCCCGCUCUGCCUGGCACUUCGGGAGCAAGCAUGCAAUCCUUCAUGAGCACGUGGCGCCGUCUCACUCCCCUGCGUGGCGUGGGCACAGCACACUUCCAAAGCAGAGCCUCUGCGUCUCUGCUGGAAAGUGUGCCCGCGUGGGAGAGAAUGACAUGGCACAGACAACCAUCCAGGGCCACAGCGCGCACAUCAGAUGGACAAUUGGCCCGUGGGCACAAGGUCAUUUAGUGUCGGAACAUCGCGUGUCAGAGAACAGAGCGAGGCGCGGCUCCCUGACAGCAGCCCCGUGUUCACAGCGGAAGAAGUGACAGUGGUAACUAAUGAUCAGUACAUGAAAAUUAAAUAACUCUAUCAGAAUGUAGAAAAAUAGCCGGAACCGCCACACGAGUUACUCUUACAGCAUUUAAGUGACAGGCGCCCUGUGCCACCACACCCUUCCUCUCCCUGGCGCCCUGACAGCAGAGCCUGGAAACCGAGGGUUCGCGUUUUGCAUCUCUGAGCAGGGCUGUGCUCCAUGUCGCCUCCGAAGCGCCCAGUCUUCUCAGGUGUUUCUGUUCCUAAUCACGUCCACGCCACUGUUCAGCUCAGGACAGACUCCCUCGGAACACUUGGAACAGCUCGUGCACUAACUGGACUGUCGUCUUCCAAGCCCCCAAGGCUUUGCUGGUGUAACAGCCAUCUGGUAUUUAUAAACCUAAAAUCUCCCAGGCUGGAACCCUAACAUUUUCUGGGAGAAGCUUUUCCAAUCGGACGCUCAGAGCUACCCCGGGGGCUGCCCUGUUGGGACAGGAGGGAGCAGCGUCCCUUUGGGAGCUUGGUGCUGAGCUCGGGGCGGGUCUCCUACAGACAAGCGCCCUCCUGGCGGAGAAGACCUGACGCUCCCGACGCACGCACGCACGCACAUCUGGGAGGCUUUGCUGUUCGAGAGCCGAACCGGGUUUUUGAAGAACAGAGAGGGCGAC